UACGUAGGUCCCGAGCGUUAUCCGGAUUUAUUGGGCGUAAAGCGAGCGCAGGCGGUCGGAUAAGUCUGAAGUUAAAGGCUGUGGCUCAACCAUAGUAUGCUUUGGAAACUGUUCAACUUGAGUGCAGAAGGGGAGAGUGGAAUUCCAUGUGUAGCGGUGGAAUGCGUAGAUAUAUGGAGGAACACCGGUGGCGAAAGCGGCUCUCUGGUCUGUAACUGACGCUGAGGCUCGAAAGCGUGGGUAGCGAACAGG
Molecule: ribosomal RNA, 252 nt
Filed under: uncultured bacterium
Lineage: Bacteria
Description: partial 16S ribosomal RNA
Rfam family: Bacterial small subunit ribosomal RNA
Source: RNAcentral